GACAGAGGGUGCAAACGUUGUUCGGAAUUACUGGGCGUAAAGCGUGUGUAGGCGGUCUCUUAAGUCGGAUGUGAAAGCCCCGGGCUCAACCCGGGAAGUGCACUCGAAACUGGGAGGCUAGAGUACCGGAGAGGUUGGUGGAAUUCUCGGUGUAGAGGUGAAAUUCGUAGAUAUCGAGAGGAACACCGGUGGCGAAGGCGGCCAACUGGACAGAUACUGACGCUGAGACACGAAAGCGUGGGGAGCAAACAGG
This 253-nucleotide ribosomal RNA is filed under the name uncultured bacterium. Its description in RNAcentral is "partial 16S ribosomal RNA". It matches the Rfam family "Bacterial small subunit ribosomal RNA", at positions 524 to 776 of the family's 1533-position model. The record is from RNAcentral.